Molecule: long non-coding RNA, 1376 nt
Organism: Homo sapiens (human)
Lineage: Eukaryota; Metazoa; Chordata; Mammalia; Primates; Hominidae
Gene: PMS2P4
Product: PMS1 homolog 2, mismatch repair system component pseudogene 4
Source: Ensembl
AGGAGGCGGGGCGCCUGUGGGAGUCGUGGAGGGAACUUUCCCAGGCCCCGAGGCGGAUCGGGUAUUGAGUCCAUGGAGCGAGCUGAGAGCUAGAGUACAGAACCUGCUAAGGCCAUCAAACCUAUCGAUCGGAAGUCAGUCCAUCAGAUUUGCUCUGGGCCGGUGGUACUGAGUCUAAGCACUGCGGUGAAGGAGUUAGUAGAAAACAGUCUGGAUGCUGGUGCCACCAAUAUUGAUCUAAAGCUUAAGGACUAUGGAGUGGAUCUCAUUGAAGUUUCAGACAAUGGAUGUGGGGUAGAAGAAGAAAACUUUGAAGGCUUAAUCUCUUUCAGCUCUGAAACAUCACACAUGUAAGAUUCAAGAGUUUGCCAACCUAACUGAGGUUGAAACUUUCGGCUUUCAGGGGGAAGCUCUGAGCUCACUGUGUGCACUGAGCGAUGUCACCAUUUCUACCUGCCACGCAUCGGCGAAGGUUGGGACUCGACUGGUGUUUGAUCACGAUGGGAAAAUCAUCCAGAAAACCCCCUACCCCCACCCCAGAGGGACCACAGUCAGCGUGAAGCAGUUAUUUUCUACACUACCUGUGCACCAUAAGGAAUUUCAAAGGAAUAUUAAGAAGACGUGCCUGUUUCCCCUUCGCCUUCUGCCGUGAUUGUCAGUUUCCUGAGGCCUCCCCAGCCAUGCUUCCUGUACAGCCUGCAGAACUGCCCCUCCAGACAUGUCCAUCUGCCUGCUGUGUUGACUUUUCCCUUUGGAGUCUUGAGGCAGCUACAAGCUUACUGACCAGAAAUGAACUCAAGCUCUCCCCGAAGCCUGGUCCUCUUCCAGGAUCAGCCAGCCUGGAAGAUGGCACUGUCAUCCACCCUGUUCUCAGGCCUGCCACCCAGGAGUCAACCUUAGCCCCAUCUAAUUGUCAGAGGCAUCUGAACCACAGCAACUCCAUCUUGAGUAGGGGAUGGGUAAAAUGAGGCUGAGACCUGCUGGGCUGCAUUCCCAGACAGCCAAGGCAUUAGCCACAGGAUAAGAUAGGCGGUCGGUACAAGACACAGGUCAUAAAGACCUUGCUGAUAAAACAGUUGGCAGUAAAGAAGCCAGCCAAAACCCACUAAAACCAAGAUGGCAACGAGAGUGACCUCUGGUCGUCCUCACUGCUACCCUCCCACCAGCACCAUGACAGUUUACAAAUGCCAUGGCAAUGUCAGAAAGUUACCCUAUAGGGUCUAAAAAGGGGAGGCAUGAAUAAUCUACCCCUUGUUUAGCAUAUCAUCAAGAAAUAACCAUAAAAAUAGGCAACCAGCAGCCCUCAGGGAUGCUCUGUCUAUGGAGUAGCCAUUCUUUUGUUCCUUUACUCUCUUAAUAAACUUGUUUUCACUUUA